This 227-nucleotide signal recognition particle RNA is filed under the name human gut metagenome. RNAcentral's name for it is "Bacterial large signal recognition particle RNA". It matches the Rfam family "Bacterial large signal recognition particle RNA", at positions 3 to 226 of the family's 256-position model. Rfam says of the family: The signal recognition particle (SRP) is a universally conserved ribonucleoprotein involved in the co-translational targeting of proteins to membranes. Archaeal SRP consists of a 7S RNA and homologues of the eukaryotic SRP19 and SRP54 proteins. In most bacteria, the SRP consists of a 4.5S RNA and the Ffh protein (a homologue of the eukaryotic SRP54 protein). The record is from RNAcentral.
GUGAUAGGUGGGGAGGUAGCGGUGCCCUGUUCCCUGAGAUCCGCUUAGCAGGGGCCAAACGCCAUUCUAGGGCAAGCAUAUGGAAGGCUGAACUUAAUGUGUAGUGAUGAUAUUAAGGUCUUAUGCAAUAAAAUUCUUAUGAACCGUGUCAGAGCCUGACGGCAGCAGCACUAAGUUUGAAAAUUAUGUGCCAUAAGGAAACUUUAAUGGAGCCAACUAUUAUAGUU